UUAAAUUGAAGAGUUUGAUCAUGGCUCAGAUUGAACGCUGGCGGCAGGCCUAACACAUGCAAGUCGAACGGUAACAGGAAGAAGCUUGCUUCUUUGCUGACGAGUGGCGGACGGGUGAGUAAUGUCUGGGAAACUGCCUGAUGGAGGGGGAUAACUACUGGAAACGGUAGCUAAUACCGCAUAACGUCGCAAGACCAAAGAGGGGGACCUUCGGGCCUCUUGCCAUCGGAUGUGCCCAGAUGGGAUUAGCUUGUUGGUGGGGUAACGGCUCACCAAGGCGACGAUCCCUAGCUGGUCUGAGAGGAUGACCAGCCACACUGGAACUGAGACACGGUCCAGACUCCUACGGGAGGCAGCAGUGGGGAAUAUUGCACAAUGGGCGCAAGCCUGAUGCAGCCAUGCCGCGUGUAUGAAGAAGGCCUUCGGGUUGUAAAGUACUUUCAGCGGGGAGGAAGGGAGUAAAGUUAAUACCUUUGCUCAUUGACGUUACCCGCAGAAGAAGCACCGGCUAACUCCGUGCCAGCAGCCGCGGUA
Molecule: ribosomal RNA, 534 nt
Filed under: Escherichia coli
Lineage: Bacteria; Pseudomonadati; Pseudomonadota; Gammaproteobacteria; Enterobacterales; Enterobacteriaceae
Description: bacterial SSU rRNA
Rfam family: Bacterial small subunit ribosomal RNA
Source: RNAcentral